GGAGAAUUGGCAGAGCGGAAAUGCAGCUGUGCACUAUGCGUGUAUAGAUCAGUCGGGGGUUCAAAUCCUCCAUUCUCCG
RNAcentral lists this transfer RNA (79 nucleotides) under Anaerostipes caccae. RNAcentral describes it as "tRNA-His". It matches the Rfam family "tRNA". Rfam says of the family: Transfer RNA (tRNA) molecules are approximately 80 nucleotides in length. Lineage: Bacteria; Bacillati; Bacillota; Clostridia; Lachnospirales; Lachnospiraceae. RNAcentral also lists the same sequence under 1 other name. The record is from RNAcentral.